This is a long non-coding RNA of Helianthus annuus (common sunflower), 1078 nucleotides long. RefSeq lists it as uncharacterized. The record is from RefSeq and is a predicted model, not a curated record. The transcript is spliced from 2 exons. NCBI's taxonomy places the organism in Eukaryota, Viridiplantae, Streptophyta, Magnoliopsida, Asterales, Asteraceae.
GUUACCACCACCUAUCACCACCACCAUCUCCCCCUCUACUCUGCAAACCAAUCUAUAAUAAAAGAGUUCUUUAAAUUCCUAUAAUCUUUUCAAAAUGCUAAACGGCUAUGAUUGCUAACCUCUCUUCCAUCUCUCGCUUCUAGAUCUCACCACCCUUUUCUUCUUUUACUUCAAAUCUGUCACUCAAAUCACACUUUUUCAUCCUUUUUUCCCACUUAAUUUCCCCCAAAACAAAAACCUAAUCUCGAAAUAUAAACAAAAGAUUACUUUUUUUUUUUCUUAUUAAGCAAACCAUUUGAAAAAUUACACUCAUCUCCUUAACAAGAUUACCCCCUGCAUUUGUUAGCUCUCCAAUUGCUUCUUCUGCUAUUCGUAUCUUCUUCAUUUCAUGAGUUUUUCUUUCCAUUUAGGGUUUCAUUGUCCUCAAUUCACAUUAUUUCUUCUUAAUCUGUACUAUAAUUGAUAUCCGUAAUGAUAUACUAGUGAUCUUAUAUCACCUCUAAUCAAAAUAAAGUAUUAUUAUUUGGAUACCUCCACCGGCGAUUUCGAUCUCUCAAUAAACAAGGAUAUCACAGGUUUCUGUUAUGUAAUUGCUGGUUAUAUCAUUUGGAUACCUCCACCGAGAAUUCAUCAACCUUCAAGUCGUCUCUUUUAUAUGUUUCAAUCAGGUAUAUCGCCGGAUGAUUCCAAUCAAGAAGAUCAAGCUACAGUAAAAAGCGGCUUUUAACUGCUGGUGGAGAUGAACCGUCAGGAAUGGAAGGUGGAAGUACCGGAUUUUGGAUGGUUGGAGGUAGUGCUGCGUUGCCACCUGUCAUUUGAGGGAUGUUUUUUUAUCCCUCCGGGUACGUAAUGGAAGAAAUGACAUCCCUCACCGAAAGGACAGCCGGAAGUGCUGCACAUAAAUCAACAAAUAGAAUUGAAAAAGUUGUCAAAAAUUGAGUGAGUUCGAAUCGAAUCAGUGAUGUUGAACUGGUAGUUUAUGUUGAUUUGUAUUUGUUGAUUGUUGAAGCAGUUAAUCUGUUUGUUUUAGAUAUAGUGAUUCGAAUUGAUAUCAGUGAUGUUUGAAAAAUAAUUGCAA